This is a long non-coding RNA of Rhincodon typus (whale shark), 316 nucleotides long. RefSeq lists it as uncharacterized. The transcript has 3 exons. NCBI's taxonomy places the organism in Eukaryota, Metazoa, Chordata, Chondrichthyes, Orectolobiformes, Rhincodontidae. The record is from RefSeq and is a predicted model, not a curated record.
GUUGAUUUCACAAUAAGGCUUUUCACUGGAAACUUUGCAGAAUGUAAAAUACUGCAAAGGUUGGAAAUCUGAAAUAAGAACAAAAUAUGCUGGAACCUCACAGCAGCAAUCUCAGUGCUUGUGAUUUAUUACCAUAAUGCAAGAGAUUUUAAACUGGAUAUUUAAUAUGUCAGAUAUUCUGUGAUCUGGUAGUGAAUAAUACAGCUUGUGCUCACAAGGUCCUUGCAAGUGACAGCGAAAUGACACCUUCGAUGGCCAGACAUAUCAGUUCCUUUGUGACCUUACCAGCAACAGCAACAUCAAACUGGAGCUUUGA